RNAcentral lists this long non-coding RNA (451 nucleotides) under Toxoplasma gondii VEG. Lineage: Eukaryota; Apicomplexa; Conoidasida; Eucoccidiorida; Sarcocystidae. The record is from RNAcentral.
UAGGUGGGCGUUUUGAAGAGUACAAGCGCGGGACUUGGCUUUGGGGCCCUAUUGGUCUACUCGGCAGGUCUUUUAACAGUGAUAACUGCCUUCGCAUUGGCCCUUGCUGGUUUUCACAAUCCAACAAAAAGUGCAGCGGUUUCCAGUGAGCACAAUUUGUCGGUGUAUUUUUCAAUUGCCCUAACCCCGUAUCCUUUUUGGCUCAUUGCACUCUGCACACCGUUGCGAAAUCCCAGAUGCAGAGAAGUUCGAAUCUUCCAAAUGCAGACAAUACCACUGCCGCAGCAUAUGAUCCGCUCUGCAUUCUGAAUUUCAUUCCGGCGAACACCAUGGCUUGUGCUGCAAUUCCUUCCGCGUUCAGUCUACUAACUGAAUACUGAACACAGUAAGCGCCCCCAUAUGCCGCGCACUCUCGAGACGCAACCUAUGUCUAUUAUUCUCUUGCUUCAGC